RNAcentral lists this ribosomal RNA (497 nucleotides) under uncultured bacterium. RNAcentral describes it as "partial 16S ribosomal RNA". It matches the Rfam family "Bacterial small subunit ribosomal RNA", at positions 28 to 507 of the family's 1533-position model. The record is from RNAcentral.
GACGAACGCUGGCGGCGUGCCUAAUACAUGCAAGUUGAGCGCUGAAGGUUGGUACUUGUACCAACUGGAUGAGCAGCGAACGGGUGAGUAACACGUGGGGAAUCUGCCUUUGAGCGGGGGACAACAUUUGGAAACGAAUGCUAAUACCGCAUAAAAACUUUAAACACAAGUUUUAAGUUUGAAAGAUGCAAUUGCAUCACUCAAAGAUGAUCCCGCGUUGUAUUAGCUAGUUGGUGAGGUAAAGGCUCACCAAGGCGAUGAUACAUAGCCGACCUGAGAGGGCGAUCGGCCACAUUGGGACUGAGACACGGCCCAAACUCCUACGGGAGGCAGCAGUAGGGAAUCUUCGGCAAUGGACGAAAGUCUGACCGAGCAACGCCGCGUGAGUGAAGAAGGUUUUCGGAUCGUAAAACUCUGUUGGUAGAGAAGAACGUUGGUGAGAGUGGAAAGCUCAUCAAGUGACGGUAACUACCCAGAAAGGGACGGCUAACUACGUG